AUGUGUCUAACAGAAACCUGGCACCAGCCAGAGGUUUACUCUGCCCUAAACGAAGCCUGUCCCCCAGGCUACAGUUACUUGGAGGCAGCCCGCAGAACUGGACGCGGUGGUGGCCUAGCUGUCAUCCACAAUCAGGACCUGGAGUUGUCCCCCAUGGUGCUGCCUACAACUUCCUCCUGUGAAUGUCUUGCAUUCACAUGCAAGCCCCCCCAUCCCAUGACUGUUCUACUCAUAUACAGGCCCCCAAAACCCAACUCUGCUUUCAUCCCGGAAAUGUCUGAUCUCCUCACAACACUCUGUACUACCUCUGCCAAUACCAUCAUUCUGGGUGAUUUAAAUAUUCAUGUUGACACCCCCUCAUGCCAGCCCGCUGCUGAUUUUCUUCAGCUGCUAGACUCCCUCAACCUUCAACAACAUGUUGAUGCCCCCACACACUCCAGAGGGCACACAAUUGACCUGGUCAUCUCAAACUCCGCCCCCAUCAGCAACCUACAGGUCUAUGAUCUGGCGUCUCGGAUCACAGAGUUGUGUCAAUGGAGCUCCCUUUUCCUUCCUCCCACACCAAACCAAAGCGGCAGAUCCACAAAGCGGCAGAUCCACACGGGCAUCCACAACAUGGAUGCCCUGGCCCUGGACCUUCAACAUCUCUCCUCUGGCUCAACUGACUCCCUCUCUGUUGCUGACUCAGUGGACUUAUACAACCAGUCCCUGAGCAGUCUCCUGGAUCUCCACGCCCCCUUAACAUCGAGGUCAGUCUCAUUCUCGUGCUCCACACCCUGGUACACCAGUGAGCUACGUACAAUGAAGGCGGCUAGGCGUGUCCUUGAGCGGCGACUCAAGGCCUCUGGUCUGACCGUUUACAAACAGGCAUACAGGGAACACAGGAGGGCAUAUGCUGAAGCCCUGAAUAAUGCACGGUCCAGGUUCUAUUCCACAAUAAUCAACAAUAGCCCUGGUAACUCCAAACAGCUCUUUUCAACUAUCAAUCACCUUCUCAAACCCCCUUUACCAUCCCAAUCUGAUGUCACCACGGAGAGGUGCAACAUGCACAUCAAAUUUUUUAAACAAAAAGUGAAUAACAUCCGCUCACACCUCUCCACCACUACUGUCCUGCCCCUUCCAACUGCUGACCCACCGAUUGACUCUGUCCAGACCCUCUGCUCCUUCUCCAGCAUCACAAAGGAAGAGGUGGAGGACGUCAUCAGGAAAAUGAAGCCAUCCACCUGUGCACUAGACCCCUACCCUACAGCUCUGCUGAAGGCCAACAUCUCUGCUGUCUCUCCACUCAUCACCAAUAUCAUUAACCACUCCCUCCUGGCCUACCCUUGA
This 1329-nucleotide long non-coding RNA is filed under the name Gadus morhua (Atlantic cod). RNAcentral's name for it is "lncRNA (ENSGMOG00000025109.1)". Lineage: Eukaryota; Metazoa; Chordata; Actinopteri; Gadiformes; Gadidae. The record is from RNAcentral.